Molecule: ribosomal RNA, 432 nt
Filed under: Cirrospilus ingenuus
Lineage: Eukaryota; Metazoa; Arthropoda; Insecta; Hymenoptera; Eulophidae
Description: eukaryotic LSU rRNA
Source: RNAcentral
CCUGAGAAACCCAAAAGAUCGAAUGGGGAGACUCAUCGUUCAGCUGCGCUGGCUUCCGUGCGGCACGCGAUUACGGGGACCUCGGUCUCGCGUGACGCUGUCGCUGCGGCAUGUCCGGCGCAGUCGGCGUGCACUUCUCCCCUAGUAGGACGUCGCGACCCGUUGGGUGUCGGAUCAAUGGGCGUUCGGUCGCCUGGCGCGCUCGCGAGAGCUCGUCAGACCGAUACGUUCGAACGUCCGACUGCCCGGCGGUAUCGAACGUUGAAAACUGGUACUGGGCCGCAUUCAGUGCGUUCCUGGCUCGUCGGCAGGCUCGUCUCGCUCGGAUUUACGGACCUAGCGCCGUUGCCGGGCGCUUGGCGCGGCCGUUAGUCGACGAUGUCCUCGGACUGGCUCUUACCGGUCGGCGACGCUACUGCUUUGGGUACUUUC